RNAcentral lists this ribosomal RNA (731 nucleotides) under Leptodactylus avivoca. RNAcentral's name for it is "partial 12S ribosomal RNA". It matches the Rfam family "Bacterial small subunit ribosomal RNA", at positions 471 to 1522 of the family's 1533-position model. Lineage: Eukaryota; Metazoa; Chordata; Amphibia; Anura; Leptodactylidae. The record is from RNAcentral.
GAUUCAGCUAAAGUAAAGAGAGCCGGCUAAUCUGGUGCCAGCCGCCGCGGUUACACCACGUGGCUCAAAUUGACCCCUCUCGGCGUAAAGCGUGAUUUAAGAGAUACUAUUCUGGUGUCAAAAAGACAUUAAGCCGUGACACGCUUGUAUCUAAGAAGCCCAAAAACGAAAGUUACACCAAUCAAAUCAACUUGAACUCACGACAGCCAGGAAACAAACUGGGAUUAGAUACCCCACUAUGCCUGGCCGUAAACUUUAACUUACACCUAUGAUCGCCCGGGAACUACGAGCCAAGCUUAAAACCCAAAGGACUUGACGGUACCCCAAAUCCACCUAGAGGAGCCUGUCCUAUAAUCGAUAACCCCCGUUUAACCUCACCAUUCCUUGUCUAUCAGCCUGUAUACCUCCGUCGCCAGCUUACCACGUGAGCGUCAUUAAGUGAGCUUAACGCCCAUACGCCAACACGUCAGGUCAAGGUGCAGCUAAUGAAAUGGGAAGAGAUGGGCUACACUUUCUACCGUAGAAAAAACGAAAGACUACCUAUGAAAUCUAGUCAGAAGGAGGAUUUAGUAGUAAAAAGAAAACAGAGUGUUCUUUUUAAUCCGGCACUGGGGUGUGUACACACCGCCCGUCACCCUCUUCAAGGCCCAAUCAAAGUACAUAACCAAACUUUGCCACAUAGAAGAGGCAAGUCGUAACAUGGUAAGUAUACCGGAAGGUGUGCUUGGAAA